CAGAAUAUAUUUUAUAUAAAAUAUUAAUUUUGGAGAUUAAAGAUGAGGAUUCCUUUUAUUCUGA
Molecule: transfer RNA, 64 nt
Filed under: Fuelleborniella sp. FuspCA
Lineage: Eukaryota; Metazoa; Arthropoda; Insecta; Psocodea; Caeciliusidae
Description: tRNA-Pro
Source: RNAcentral